AAAAAAAGAAAGAAUGUUGUCUUCCCUCGCCAUGUGAUUCCAAUGUCUGGAGUCAAAAAUAUUAAACAAUCCUUGCUUUAAAGUUUGAUCCAGUUUGCACAAUUGGGUGAAAAAUAACUUUUGGAUCAAAAAGUGUUUCAUCAAAAUUUAUUUAGAGGGCAAUAUUUUGGAUAAGUUACUGAACUAAAGGAUCCAAAAGGAAUAAAGAUUUGGAAAAAGUGAUUCAACCAAGUUUUGAAAAAUUUGACCAUAAUUUCUCUUCUGAAAAAGUUUAUUUGUAAUUAUGUUGUUAUUUAACUUGUAAUUAGUGUAAAAUAAACCUUUUUGAUGUUUUAACUUCUUUGUUUUCAUUGUUGACACUUCUGGAUAUUGUCUCUUCUUAUUUCUUAUGUAGACAUGCUCACAUAUUGUUUUGGUAAUAAUUUUUGAGCUAAAAUUCUUUCUCUCGAUAAAAUUGUUUUCGAGAUGCUUACCUUUAAUGGAUACUUAUGGUGUUUAAAAAUUAAUUUAUCCACAAGUUUAUGCUAGCUAGUAAAAAAUGCAGUCUAUUUUUGAAGUCGACUGCACAAGUUUUUAAUUUAUGUAUAAUUUAAUUAAUUUAUAACUUUUUAAAUAUGAAGUAUAAAUAUGUUUUUUAAUAAUUUAUAUAACUUUUUUGAAUGUUCUAUGUUCUUUGAAUGAACGAGGUUAGCAAACAAGUAAAGGCAAUGGACGAACCAUUAAAAAAACACUAGUUGCCAAUAUUGGUAACAUGUGUUUUAGCGAUGAAACAAAUUAUUGUGUAUGUAAGCAUUUUACAUAAAAUAUUAAGUGUUGUAUUUUACUAUAAUCCAUA
Uloborus diversus is the source of this 835-nucleotide long non-coding RNA. RefSeq lists it as uncharacterized. Lineage: Eukaryota; Metazoa; Arthropoda; Arachnida; Araneae; Uloboridae. The record is from RefSeq and is a predicted model, not a curated record. The transcript is spliced from 3 exons.